AGUGAUCCAAGAUCAUGCCACUGCACUCCAGCCUGGGAGACAGAGAAAGACUCCAUCUCAGGGGAAAAAAAAGAAAAGAAAAGAAAAAGAAAAGAAAACUGAAUAAUACUCUAUUUUUCUACAAUGAAUCUAGAAGAAAAAGAAAAGACCAAAUAUAGGAUUACUUGAAUGAGACAAAAAAGAUGGAAUUUGGAGGACAAGACAAGAGAUACUAAGAAGAGUAAACCCAAUAAACAGACUGCAGCACAGAAAGGGUCCAGGACCAGGGAGGUGGCUUGUUCAGGAAAGAGUUAACUCAACAGGUCUGGGAUAUUCAAAUCCCACACAUUUCGAAAAAAAGUUCUCUCCUCAUUGGCUCCUGGGAGAAAAUCUCUACGUCUUUGGACUAUUCUUCCAGAUUGGAGACUGAAAAGAAGAGAAGUUAAGGAACUUGUCUAAGAUUAUCAAGCAAAAAUUUAAAGCUGAAGUUUCAAUAUUUUCUCAGAAAACAAGAAAAGUUAGUGAUCUCAUUAUAGAAAGACUGUUACAGUGGCUUCAGCAGAGUCAGUGGUUGUGUCAACAGCAUCUGGAGCAGAGAGGGCAAGCUUAGUUCAUAUGAAGCAGCAAUAGCAACAGAAGAAAAGGCAGUGACAUCACCCUCAGCUUGUUGGAGAAAAGCAAGAGUGGACUAACAUACAUCCUGUGCCUGGAAAAGCCACAGACACUCAAUGCCAGCCUGGGAGAGCAGCUGUGGUGGCUGAACCCUGAAAAAUCACAGGACUAGAGCUGCCCAAGCCUUUGGGAGCCUACCUCUUGCAUUGGUGUGCCCUGGAUUUGGGACAUGAAGUCAAAG
RNAcentral lists this long non-coding RNA (832 nucleotides) under Homo sapiens (human). Its description in RNAcentral is "HSALNT0063729". Lineage: Eukaryota; Metazoa; Chordata; Mammalia; Primates; Hominidae. The record is from RNAcentral.